Molecule: ribosomal RNA, 800 nt
Filed under: uncultured bacterium
Lineage: Bacteria
Description: bacterial SSU rRNA
Rfam family: Bacterial small subunit ribosomal RNA
Source: RNAcentral
AGAGUUUGAUCCUGGCUCAGGACGAACGCUGGCGGCGUGCCUAACACAUGCAAGUGGAGCGACGAACCGUCUUCGGACGGGGCAAAGCCGCGAACGGGUGAGUAACACGUGGGUAACCUGCCCUGAUGAUUGGGACAACCCGAGGAAACUCGGGCUAAUACCAAAUGUGCCCUCCGACCGUAAGGUUGAUGGGGAAAGGAAGCUUCGGCCUCCGCAUCGGGAUGGGCCCGCGGCCCAUUAGCUUGUUGGUGAGGUAAUGGCUCACCAAGGCGACGAUGGGUAGCUGGUCUGAGAGGACGAUCAGCCACACUGGGACUGAGACACGGCCCAGACUCCUACGGGAGGCAGCAGUGGGGAAUCUUGCGCAAUGCGCGAAAGCGUGACGCAGCAACGCCGCGUGGGGGAAGAAGGCCUUCGGGUUGUAAACCCCUUUCAGUUGGGACGAAGCUUUGCCGGUGAAUAGCCGGUUGGAGUGACGGUACCUUCAGAAGAAGCCCCGGCUAACUACGUGCCAGCAGCCGCGGUAAUACGUAGGGGGCAAGCGUUGUCCGGAAUCAUUGGGCGUAAAGCGCGUGUAGGCGGCUCGAUAAGUCUGCUGUGAAAGUCCAGGGCUCAACCCUGGAAAGCCGGUGGAAACUGUCGAGCUAGAGUCCGGAAGAGGCGAGUGGAAUUCCUGGUGUAGCGGUGAAAUGCGCAGAUAUCAGGAGGAACACCAAUGGCGAAGGCAGCUCGCUGGGACGGUACUGACGCUGAGACGCGAAAGCGUGGGGAGCAAACAGGAUUAGAUACCCUAGUAGUCC